GACGAACGCUGGCGGCGUGCCUAACACAUGCAAGUCGAGCGGGAUCCAUCUGGUGGCAACACCGGGGAAGAUCUAGCGGCGAACGGGUGAGUAACACGUGAGAAACCUGCCCCGAACUUCGGGAUAACACGGGGAAACCCGUGCUAAUACCGAAUACCCUCUACCGGUCGCAUGGCCGGAAGCGGAAAGCUUCAUCGGUUCGGGAGGGUCUCGCGGCCUAUCAGCUAGUUGGAGGGGUAACGGACCACCAAGGCAUCGACGGGUAGCUGGUCUGAGAGGACGAUCAGCCACACUGGGACUGGGACACGGCCCAGACUCCUACGGGAGGCAGCAGUGGGGAAUCUUGCGCAAUGGGCGAAAGCCUGACGCAGCAACGCCGCGUGCGGGAUGAAGGCCUUCGGGUUGUAAACCGCUUUCAGCAGGGAAGAAAAUGACGGUACCUGCAGAAGAAGCCCCGGCCAACUACGUGCCAGCCGCCGCAGUAA
Molecule: ribosomal RNA, 485 nt
Filed under: uncultured bacterium
Lineage: Bacteria
Description: partial 16S ribosomal RNA
Rfam family: Bacterial small subunit ribosomal RNA
Source: RNAcentral